AGUGAACGCUGGCGGUAGGCCUAACACAUGCAAGUCGAACGGCAGCACAGUAAGAGCUUGCUCUUACGGGUGGCGAGUGGCAGACGGGUGAGGAAUACAUCGGAAUCUACUUUUUCGUGGGGGAUAACGUAGGGAAACUUAUGCUAAUACCGCAUACGACCUACGGGUGAAAGCAGGGGAUCUUCGGACCUUGCGCGAUUGAAUGAGCCGAUGUCGGAUUAGCUAGUUGGCGGGGUAAAGGCCCACCAAGGCGACGAUCCGUAGCUGGUCUGAGAGGAUGAUCAGCCACACUGGAACUGAGACACGGUCCAGACUCCUACGGGAGGCAGCAGUGGGGAAUAUUGGACAAAGGGCGCAAGCCUGAUCCAGCCAUACCGCGUGGGUGAAGAAGGCCUUCGGGUUGUAAAGCCCUUUUGUUGGGAAAGAAAAGCAGCAGGUUAAUACCCCGCUGUUCUGACGGUACCCAAAGAAUAAGCACCGGCUAACUUCGUG
RNAcentral lists this ribosomal RNA (492 nucleotides) under uncultured bacterium. RNAcentral describes it as "partial 16S ribosomal RNA". It matches the Rfam family "Bacterial small subunit ribosomal RNA", at positions 29 to 507 of the family's 1533-position model. The record is from RNAcentral.